RNAcentral lists this ribosomal RNA (452 nucleotides) under uncultured bacterium. RNAcentral describes it as "partial 16S ribosomal RNA". It matches the Rfam family "Bacterial small subunit ribosomal RNA", at positions 28 to 507 of the family's 1533-position model. The record is from RNAcentral.
GAUGAACGCUGGCGGCGUGCCUAACACAUGCAAGUCGAGCGAUUUACUUCGGUAAAGAGCGGCGGACGGGUGAGUAACGCGUGGGUAACCUGCCCUGUACACACGGAUAACAUACCGAAAGGUAUGCUAAUACGAGAUAAUAUGCUUUUAUCGCAUGGUAGAAGUAUCAAAGCUUUUGCGGUACAGGAUGGACCCGCGUCUGAUUAGCUAGUUGGUGAGGUAACGGCUCACCAAGGCGACGAUCAGUAGCCGACCUGAGAGGGUGAUCGGCCACAUUGGAACUGAGACACGGUCCAAACUCCUACGGGAGGCAGCAGUGGGGAAUAUUGCACAAUGGGCGAAAGCCUGAUGCAGCAACGCCGCGUGAGCGAUGAAGGCCUUCGGGUCGUAAAGCUCCGUCCUCAAGGAAGAUAAUGACGGUACUUGAGGAGGAAGCCCCGGCUAACUACGUG